AACGAACGCUGGCGGCAUGCCUAACACAUGCAAGUCGAACGAGACCUUCGGGUCUAGUGGCGCACGGGUGCGUAACGCGUGGGAACCUGCCCUUAGGUUCGGAAUAACUCCCCGAAAGGGGUGCUAAUAUCGGAUAAUGUCUUCGGACCAAAGAUUUAUCGCAUUUGGAUGGGCCCGCGUUGGAUUAGCUAGUUGGUAGGGGAAAAGCCUACCAAGGCGACGAUCCAUAGCUGGUCUGAGAGGAUGAUCAGCCACACUGGGACUGAGACACGGCCCAGACUCCUACGGGAGGCAGCAGUGGGGAAUAUUGGACAAUGGGCGAAAGCCUGAUCCAGCAAUGCCGCGUGAGUGAUGAAGGCCUUAGGGUUGUAAAGCUCUUUUACCCGGGAUGAUAAUGACAGUACCGGGAGAAUAAGCUCCGGCUAACUCCGUG
Molecule: ribosomal RNA, 433 nt
Filed under: uncultured bacterium
Lineage: Bacteria
Description: partial 16S ribosomal RNA
Rfam family: Bacterial small subunit ribosomal RNA
Source: RNAcentral